RNAcentral lists this unclassified non-coding RNA (167 nucleotides) under soil metagenome. Its description in RNAcentral is "partial internal transcribed spacer 1". The record is from RNAcentral.
GUGAAUUAAACAUGCUUGGUGUCUUCGCUUCGGCAAGGCCCUUGCUUAAAUCACAUCCUAACACCUGUGAACUGUAAGACGUAUGAUGAGGUCUUUGGCCAAGUCAUCGGCUGCCCAUUUUUAACAAACAAUUAAUGUAACAAACGUAGUCUUAUUAUAACCUAAUA